This 253-nucleotide ribosomal RNA is filed under the name uncultured bacterium. Its description in RNAcentral is "partial 16S ribosomal RNA". It matches the Rfam family "Bacterial small subunit ribosomal RNA", at positions 524 to 776 of the family's 1533-position model. The record is from RNAcentral.
UACGGGGGGGGCAAGCGUUGUUCGGAAUUACUGGGCGUAAAGGGCGCGUAGGCGGCCAUCUAAGUCAGACGUGAAAUCCCCCGGCUUAACCUGGGAACUGCGUCUGAUACUGGAAGGCUCGAGUUUGGGAGAGGGAUGUGGAAUUCCAGGUGUAGCGGUGAAAUGCGUGGAUAUCUGGAGGAACACCGGUGGCGAAGGCGGCAUCCUGGACCAACACUGACGCUGAGGCGCGAAAGCUAGGGGAGCAAACGGG